CAUAAGUAAUCCUGCAGAAAUAACGUAAAUGGUUAUGUAAACAUAAAGAACAUAAAUACCGUCGCAACCAAGAGGGGACCUAGGCUAAAACACUAGGCACUGAGCGACGGAUCCUAUUACACAAUAUUCAUGAACCAUUCCACAUACUCCAUUCGUUCCAAUUUGUUUGAACUAUUUCCUUAUUAGUCUAUUCCAUAAAGAAUGACACAAUUCUAUAUUUUAACGAGAGACUUUUACUGACACAAAUUUGUUAUAACAUGUUUAAAACCAUAAAUUUUAAAAGUGUUAUAUAGUGUAUGACAUAUAUAAGAACACAAGUUUCAAUAGUACUCUUUUAUUUAUAAAUCCAUUUAUGCCAAACAAAUUGAAACCGAGGGAGUAAUUAAAGAGCUAUUCUUUUCCCUUUUUUUUUGGCUUUUCUCAUUGACAACACCUGUACCUUCUUCUUUCCUGAACCAAGAGGUGGUUUUUUUUUAUAACGGAGAAAUCUACUAUUUCUAGGUUUAAGUUUUUUAAAAUAAAAAUGGAUUUUUGGCUAAACAAUACAUUCCAAAGGGUAACUUCUAUUUCAAUCAGUGCUAAAGAAAAAACAAAAAGAAAAUCAGAAACUUCGACAAAAGGGCAAGAAUAUCGCAGUUUUAUUCAGCUAGUAUCACUGAAUUCUACUGUAAAAAAUCAAUAGUAAGCGAAAAAAAAAUAGGGAAAUAAGAAAUUACCAGUUAAAAUCAGCUGUUUGCUGGCUAUCUCUCUGCAACUCGAGAUCUUUCCUCGAUUGUAAAGAGGUUCAGUUGCGAGGAAUUUGUACCGUUUAUGUUCGAAAGGGAACUUAUAGGAUGCAAUCAGCUAAUGCGCCUUCUAAAACGCAAUUAAAAAUUGGAUAU
Molecule: long non-coding RNA, 881 nt
Filed under: Nicotiana benthamiana
Lineage: Eukaryota; Viridiplantae; Streptophyta; Magnoliopsida; Solanales; Solanaceae
Description: long non-coding RNA (NBEN_LNC013963)
Source: RNAcentral